Molecule: unclassified non-coding RNA, 346 nt
Filed under: soil metagenome
Description: partial contains 5.8S ribosomal RNA, internal transcribed spacer 2, and large subunit ribosomal RNA
Rfam family: 5.8S ribosomal RNA (bases 1-122)
Source: RNAcentral
GAUGAAGAAACGUAGCGAAAUGCGAUAAGUAAUGCGAAUUGCAGAAUUUCCGUGAGUCAUCGAAUCUUUGAACGCACAUUGCGCCCACUGGUAUUCCGGUGGGCAUGCCUGUUCGAGCGUCAUUAUCCUCCCUCAAACCCCGGGUUUGGUGUUGGACCCAAGUUGUGUGAACAACUGGUCUCAAAGACAAUGACGGCGUCCGUGGGACCCUCGGUGCAACGAGCUUUUAGGAGCACGCAUCGAGUUGCAAGGACCUUCCGGGCCGGUCUCCUUUACCAUUUUACAAGGUUGACCUCGGAUCAGGUAGGAAUACCCGCUGAACUUAAGCAUAUCAAUAAGCGGAGGA